CCAGAUUAUUUGUUGCUGUGCAAUUGUUUUGUAUAAAAUUGCAAGAGAAAUAGUCUGACA
This 60-nucleotide microRNA precursor is filed under the name Anolis carolinensis (green anole). Its description in RNAcentral is "Aca-Mir-5399_pre stem-loop". The record is from RNAcentral. Lineage: Eukaryota; Metazoa; Chordata; Lepidosauria; Squamata; Anolidae.